CCCUUUUGUUCAUAGAGAUGUGGAUUCAUUUGAGCAUAAAAGGCAAAUAUUGCAGUAACAAUAUCCACAGCAAUAAAGAGUACUUGUAUUGAGUAUUAAUAUUAUUAUGAUUAUAUAGUGAUUUGAUGCAGGUUGAUGGUCAAGUGUACAAAGUCAUUUUUCUGGAAAAAGCAACCAUCACUGAGUGCAAUAUAAAAAUUAAGCAAUAUUCCAGUGACAUGUAUCACAAGAGAUAUCUGUUGAAGAGGGCUUGGAUUGGUUUAUUGGCCUUUCUCACCUUCAAGUGAUUUGCAACCUGUCAUGGAGAAAGUUUUUGGAUAUUUUACAUGUAUAUAAAAAAAUAAUAAUUGUAAUAGAUGCUUUCUCUGCAGAGUAACUAAUAAAAGAUGAUGCUUUGGGGCCUAUGUUUGGGGCUUAUUCUGCUUAAUGGAGCUGUAAUAAUAUCAUAUUCAACAAUUUAAUAAAUUAAAAAUUCAAUAUUAAUUUUAAUAAUAAAUUUCAUAAUUUUAUUACAAUAAAU
Non-coding RNA from Paramuricea clavata, 520 nucleotides. NCBI's taxonomy places the organism in Eukaryota, Metazoa, Cnidaria, Anthozoa, Malacalcyonacea, Plexauridae. The record is from the annotation of a GenBank genome assembly.